Long non-coding RNA from Monopterus albus (swamp eel), 319 nucleotides. RefSeq lists it as uncharacterized. The transcript has 3 exons. The record is from RefSeq and is a predicted model, not a curated record. Lineage: Eukaryota; Metazoa; Chordata; Actinopteri; Synbranchiformes; Synbranchidae.
UGGCACAUAUUUCUCCCAACUCUCCCACUUCCUCCUCUGUUUACAAGCGCCCAUUAAGCUAUGCUAACUACGUCACCACAGGCGGGCAUUGAUGCUAGACGUGCUGCCUCCUCCUCAGCCUGUAGAGGGACAGAGGGGCCAGGGGGAAGACAGAGAUAAGGGCCCAUAACUGUUGAUAAAGGACUUUAACGGCUAUAACUGGAGGUGGAGCAGGUGCAGAGAAAGAGAGAGAGAGCAACCAUCUUGGAUGUCUCCUCUUUGCCUGAGGAGAUGCAUUACCCUUUUUGGAUUCCUUAUUAUUAAGGCAUUUCAACUAUGA